UUUUCUCAUACUUUAUGCAAUAGGUCUACUAUAUUUGUUGUAUGGAAUGAUUGUAAGGUGAACAUGUCUAGCGGGCAGAUGUCAUCUGACCUUGACAUCAUUUUCAUGGUUCAGUGGUCAAGUUAAGUUUUUAAGUUUUGGUCUUUUUAUCUUAUAUUAUAUGCCAAAGGUCAACUAUAUUUGGUGUAUGGAAAUAUAUUAUGAUCUAUAUGUCAGUCCCGCAGG
RNAcentral lists this long non-coding RNA (225 nucleotides) under Mytilus galloprovincialis (Mediterranean mussel). The record is from RNAcentral. Lineage: Eukaryota; Metazoa; Mollusca; Bivalvia; Mytilida; Mytilidae.